GGUUCUCUCCGAAAUAGCUUUAGGGCUAGCCUCAAGUGAUGAUUAUUGGAGGUAGAGCACUGUUUGGACGAGGGGCCCCUCUCGGGUUACCGAAUUCAGACAAACUCCGAAGGCCAAUCAAUUUAACGUGGGAGUCAGAACAUGGGUGAUAAGGUCCGUGUUCGAAAGGGAAACAGCCCAGACCACCAGCUAAGGUCCCAAAAUAUAUGUUAAGUGGAAAAGGAUGUGGCGUU
RNAcentral lists this ribosomal RNA (233 nucleotides) under Staphylococcus capitis. RNAcentral's name for it is "partial 23S ribosomal RNA". It matches the Rfam family "Bacterial large subunit ribosomal RNA", at positions 851 to 1082 of the family's 2925-position model. Lineage: Bacteria; Bacillati; Bacillota; Bacilli; Caryophanales; Staphylococcaceae. The record is from RNAcentral.